This 277-nucleotide ribosomal RNA is filed under the name uncultured bacterium. Its description in RNAcentral is "partial 16S ribosomal RNA". It matches the Rfam family "Bacterial small subunit ribosomal RNA", at positions 28 to 298 of the family's 1533-position model. The record is from RNAcentral.
GACGAACGCUGGCGGCGUGCUUAACACAUGCAAGUGGAGCGACGAACCAGGCUUCGGCCUGGGGCAAAGCCGCGAACGGGUGAGUAACACGUGGGUAACCUGCCCCGAUGAUUGGGACAACCCGAGGAAACUCGGGCUAAUACCGAAUGUGCCCUCCGGCCUCAAGGCCGCUGGGGAAAGGAAGCUUCGGCCUCCGCAUCGGGAUGGGCCCGCGGCCCAUUAGCUUGUUGGUGAGGUAACGGCUCACCAAGGCUGCGAUGGGUAGCUGGUCUGAGAG